Molecule: long non-coding RNA, 1151 nt
Organism: Topomyia yanbarensis
Lineage: Eukaryota; Metazoa; Arthropoda; Insecta; Diptera; Culicidae
Exons: 3
Source: RefSeq, a predicted model, not a curated record
UGGGCUCAAAAACAACGCAGGCCUAGAUGCAGUUUCUAUGGCGAAAGAUGGGUGAGAUGUGCCAGAAAAUUUCCGUUGGUACUCUUGCAUCGUUUUCUAGAGAAGUUGAAUAGUCAAUAUACGAUGGUCACAGCAGGUGAAAAUUCAUGAGUACAACAUUCUACUGUAUGGCGAUCUGAGGCUGUCUGUGAAGAUUUGGAAUUCAACUUCUGAGAUACGAAACGAUCACUUAAUUCAGAAGAGUCGAUUCAUGUCGAUGUUUAUAACUAAUUCCAUUGAUCAAACCGUCUCAGAACCUGGAACUAUCGGUAAAAAUAUUUUCGCCAAACCGGAAACUACUGCCAAGAUCUUGUCUGCUGUUAAUCAUUCAGUACGCAUUCUACCUCAAACGAAGUUUCUUCCUUAUUCGGUUGACGUUGGAUGCAAAGCACGGAUGCCCUGCUGAUGAUGUCCUUAGUGCAUGAAAGGAUUCACGUAACGUUUGAUUGGGCUAGGCAUUAGCGUACUGAGAGCGGUCAGAGUGCUAGUUCAUCAUCCACUGUAAGCUAUGUGACGAUCAAGGUUGCUACUGGUAGUAUUGUUGGUGCCAUUACGGAACCGAUAAAUGGAGCUGCGAUACUGGCUGCCCUCACCGGACAAGAAAUGCCACACAACGUGAGGACACGACGCCGAAAUAUUUCGAACAGGAAAACCAUCGGAACCAAUUCCGUACAAGGUAUUGUGAUAGCCACUGAUUGUUGGCGUUCACAGUUCAAGAAAUUCUAGUCGCCAGCCGGAAUCGUUACACGAUGAUUGGUGCAAUUUUGCUAAAUUUUGGACACGGUAAGAGGUACCGAAUCUUAAAACAAUCUGUCCAAGUAUGACUAUGCCGGAUUCAUCGCAGGUUAUACUGCGGACAAAGCGGAAAAUGCCUCCGUCAUCAAUGGAUUAUAUGUGCUAUCCCAUCUCCACCUGCUAGUUCGUACAACAAUAGACUUUGCCAGUGCCGAAGCUGUUCACCUGUACACAGCCUAGUGAAACCGACCGUAUUACGAUAUCGCCGAUGGGCUCUAGUCCAGUUCAAUAGUGAUUCUAGAAGAUGGCGAUGUGCCGAAUCUGCCGGAAUAUGACGACCAAUUAGAGCCGCCAGAAUAAAAUCUAUGCUUUAUGUA